UAAAUGUUACCGUCUUAUUUGCCCAAUCAAAUAAUCUGACGCCUGUCAUUUCCAUCUUUUCUUUUAAUUCAGACUUAAUGGCAAUACCAUUUUCCAAGGCAAGCUCUAAACCACCGAUGCUUUUGAUCUGCCAAUUUAGACUUCCCCCUUUCUUUCUUCUCCCCCUUUCUUUAGUCCGGUUCUCUUUCGCAGUCGAUUUUCCUCUGAUUUUCGGCAUACGUGGGAACACUUUCAACCAGAUCUGGACUAUAGCUGAUGAAUAUCAUGAAUAUAAACCCCUAUUUGCGAUUUAUCCUCCCCUUUCGCCUUGCAUUUCUUUAUUACCGAUAAAGAGUCGCCUUCGAUAAUGAUUUCCUUCUCUUGCAUGUCGAGUGCUAUUUGGAUCGCUUUUCUACAAGUGAGUGCUUCGGCUGCGAAGGUGGAGAGAACUCUAUGGUGAAUCUCUGUGCAUGACAGGAGGACGAAACCUUUGCUGUUUUUGACUACUAUCCCGGAAGCCGAUUGUUGGUUGCGCUCAUUAUAUGCUCCGUCAAAGUUUAUUUUCACUAUUUGACCAGGUGGGUGUUUCUAUUUAGUAUUCUCCUUAGAAACUAUGGAAAUAGUGCUCUCUAAACCAUCCAUUUCUUCUAAGUAGCUAUGAACAAAGCAUGCAAUUUCCUGACUAGAUCUGUUUGUUUUAUCAUGUAUUCGAGCAUUUCUGUCCCCCCAUAUGGCCCAUAAUGUACAACAAAAUAGUCUAUAAAAGGAGGUUGGCUGGUCAACGAGGACCCUGACAAUCCUGAAAGAGGUGGUCCAUUGUUUCUACUUCUUCACCAUAACGAGGACAUGUUGGACUAUUUACUAGUUUCCUACAUGACAUAUUUACCCGAGUAAGCAAAUAGUUCCGAGAAAUUUUCCAGCAUGUAAUUAUAAUUUUUUUUAGUAGAUCUAGGCUCCAUAGUUUUAUGUAGAAAGCUUUGUAGUCAGGAUAUAAAGCAUAAUUUCUAAGUUCCAGACUUUGUAAUAGUUUAUAGUAGUUUAUAGGCGCUUCUAAUUGAGUAUUCGCCGCUCCAAACCCUAAAAUCAGCAUGAGGUUCCUUCGUCAAUGGGAUGCAGAGAAUCUUUUCAUCCACUUCUUCUGGGAAGGACUUAACUCAAUGCAAUCAUUAAUACCAUGCCCCAUUCUUCCACAACCAAAGCAAAAAAUCGUCGAAAAUUGCAAGAGAAGCCAUAUCUAGGGUUUUGGCCAAGCUUUCAAGCUCAAUUGUAAGUCCGUUUUGUCCCAUUUUUAACGAUUUUUAUAUUUUUGAGAUCGUGGUAACUUAAUUUAGCUAUUUCAAGGACUAAUUUGAAAGAAAGUUAAAGUCUAAAAUUUUACUCAUGUUGAAUAUGCUUAUAUUUUGAUGUUUGAUGGUAGAAAAUACAUGUUUUUUUGUUUGUUAAACGACUUUUUUAAAGUGAUUUUUGGUAAAAACGUCAAAUAGGGACUUAUUUGUAAAAGUCUAUAAAAUGUGUAGAAAAGUGUGAAUAAAGGAAAAAUGUGGACUGUUAUGAGUACAAACAACAUUCCGGUAGGUUUGGGUUGUGAUGAAAUUGAAAGAAAUUCAUUUUACGAACUUAGGGACUAAAUUAUAAAAUGUUGUAAAGUAGGGGUAAAAAUAUAAAUUUUUCCAUAAUAUGUUUUUGGACUGAAUUGAAUGAUGUGAUGAUUAAAUAAGUUAAAUGUGGUAUUAUAGAUCAAGAAAAAUACAAAUUGGGUCUAGACCGGGGGAAAAACAAAGUAAUUGAUGAAUAGAUCUCUUUGUCCGUUUUUGUAACCGAGAUGCUGGUCCUGUACGUCCUACCGGUGGAUGAAUAUACCGGCAUAUGUUGCAGUUAAACAUCUUAUCGUCACCAAGCUAGCUCGGUUUGGAGAUUGUCGGAGAUGGUAUCACACUAUCAAACUAUUAUUUUCGGUACUGAUGAUUUUAAACAUUUUGAGAAUAUGGCAUGUAUAGGGACUUGGUCAUUUUGUAAUAUGUGUCAUUAUGAAUUUGGCCAAAUGUAUUAACUUGUAAUUGUCAAAGGCUUGAUGUGGUAUUUGGCCAUGUAAUUUGGUUUAUUUUGGUUGAAUUGGUUGUAAGUUUAUAUAUAUUUAUAUGUGCAUGCAUGAGCAAUUGUCUCUUAUGUGAUAUGGUUUACAAAUGCUUGGUAAAUGGUUGAAUGUGGCUUAAUGGUUUUGGUUGUUGAAUGGUUAAGAUUAGCUCAUUGGUAUGCUUGGAAAAAACUAAGUAAAAUUAUGCAUGUUAUUGGUAGCCAUAUUGAAACUUAUAGAAUGUGAGCUUGGUAUGAUUUGGUUUUGGCAAAAUAUGAUGUUGUAAAUAUGUUGAGUGUGGAUAAUCAAAUGACAUGAUUUGGCAUUGUUUUGUGGAUGUUUUGGUUGCCUAAAUAUGCCAUGAUUUAUGCCAUUGGAUUUGUGUAUGUGAAUGUGUAAAUGAGGAUGGCAAAUAGCUUGGUAAAUAGCGUUUAUUUUGUCCACACAGGUAGACACACAGGUGUGUGUAGGCCAUGUGUGAUACACAGCCUAUGCCAUGAGCAUUUGUUUCGGCCGUGUGUCAUCUGCACCUUAAUUUUUGAGAAACAGAAUGUAUAGAAUUAAGCAUACGGGCAGAGGCACGGGUGUGUGUCUCAGUCGUAUGAGGGACACAACGUCAAGCACCGGUGUGUGUCUCAGCCAUGUGAGGGACACGUGAUAAACAGUAAUUUAUACAUAUUUGUACCCCAUGUUUAACGCAUUUUAUGGAUGAUUUCUCAUUAGAGUUGGUGAAUUCGAUGCUCCUAAUUCUUUAAUUUUUGACAAACAGAAUGUAUAGAAUUAAGCAUACGGGCAGAGGCACGGGCGUGUGUCUCAGCCGUGUGAGGGACACAACGUCAAGCACCGGCGUGUGUCUCAGCCGUGUAAGGGACACGUGAUAAACAGAGAGCAUAGGAGAGCAAAAUGAACGAGAAACAGGCCAAAAAAGGAGAAAUUGGGCCAAAGUACGAAAUCAACACGGCCUGGACCUCCUCACAUGGGCAGACCACAUGGACGUGUCAAUUUGGCAGGCUCGAGCACGUCCCGAAGUAAUCGCACACGGGGAUGUCCCUGCCAAGCGCAAGUUGAGUCCAAUUCGGAAAAGACUAAUUUUGAGGGCUUUUAGGCAUUCCAAAGCCUAUAAAUACACCCUAGAGGAGGAAGAAAGGGAGACACAAAAUAGGGAGUAAAGAAUUACUCUAAGGAAGCCGAUUGAUCCAUCUCAGAAGUCGGAUUCACCAUCAAGACUGAAGAUCUCUCCUCAAUUUCCCCUUCAAGAGUUUAGGGUUUUGUUUAUGUUUUGUAUUCUUUAUUAUUUUGAGAUGUUCUCUUAUUUAGUUAUGAACUAAAACCCCUAAAUAUAUAAGAGGAAUGAAACCUAAGACGAAUCUUGUUAUUA
Gossypium arboreum is the source of this 3431-nucleotide long non-coding RNA. RefSeq lists it as uncharacterized. The transcript is spliced from 8 exons. NCBI's taxonomy places the organism in Eukaryota, Viridiplantae, Streptophyta, Magnoliopsida, Malvales, Malvaceae. The record is from RefSeq and is a predicted model, not a curated record.